UCAUGGCUGCAGAGUGGCGGCGGGGAGGGGGGUGAUUAAAAGGAAACCGCACCAUGGGACAUGGUGCCUGUGAGCUUAGCAACAUCCCUGCAGCACAAAGCAAUACCUGUAAUUCCUCAACACAGAUUCAUAUUGGUGACCAAGUGACCACAAGAGAUGAAUGCCCUACUGUUUGGAAAAGCACUGCAUGCCAGGGACCCUGUAAUUAGAAGCAGAGCGGUAGCUGAGCCCACAGGCGGAGGAGCGAGUCUUCCACAUGACUCAGCGGUUCAGAGGGAAGCCCAGAGUUCCUCGGGUUGGUGUCACUUAUGAAUCCUGCAGGCCUGAGCAGCGGGGUCACAGUGUUCAGGUACGCAUUUGCAGAACUUCAUUUUGCGUAGACCGGGAACAUCGGAUUUAUUACAUUUCUAAUGCCACAUCAAACGAUGACAGAUUUAAAUUAUUAUUCAGGUUGUUCAAGUUUAUGUGGGGAGGAGAACCAUUUUUCUUUUCCAUCCUCCCUCAUGCCAAAUGUCACUGAAAAGCAUUUGACUUGCUGUCAGAAUGCCAGGGAUCUGACAGAUUAACAGUGGGCAAGAACAUGCAUGUAGACUGAAAGCAGGUGAGUCAGCCACAAAAGUAAACCAAAUCAAACCAAUGUUUAGUCUUGCAUCAGUCCUUGGGAAAUAAUGAAGGGCUAGACUUAGGAUAAUGGCAGAAAUAUUUAAUUUACACACUUGCCCUGGGGAGGUUGAACGGUGCUUAAGAGAUAUUUUCAAAAUUGCAAUAAAAAUGCAUUUGUUAAUGACAGUUCUGCUUGAACCAUAGCUGUAGAUUUUGAAGGAAGUCAAGAAUUUGCAGUUUUUAAGGUUUUAGGCUAUUACAGGAAAGACAAAUGUGAUUCUAGCAUUUAGCCUAUUUUCCAACCUUCUGACGGUACCCUUUAGGCCUCUGGAUAAAACGAAGAACAUUUCUGUCGCUUCAUAUUUUAAUCCAAGUGACUGAGCUUCAGAUUGAGAAUAGAGAAAAGCCCAUCAGCAUUUGGGAAUUGACAUCAAUCAUUUGGGACUGAAAUAUUUCAGUCAAAAGAAAUACACCACUGAAAGCAAUCAAUAUUCUGUCUACCAAACUGCACUGUGAUGAGCUCUGCAUUAUGACAACAUACCUGACCAGACACCAACAAGAUUAUCUGAAUCAAAUAAUUUCCCAAAUAACUACAUUUCACACAGACACGGAUGCUUGUUUACGACUCAAUUGCAUGUGCCCCGUCAUUUAUCUUUGCGCUCCACAUGGAGUCCAUUUCUAUUUCAUGCAUCUAAGCAGUACUAGCCACUGUAAUAAAAUGCCUCUCCAGCCAUUACAAUUGAACUUCAGAGGCAUUUGGUGAGAAAACAACCAUACACUUCUGUGUAAAGUUGUUUGAGAAGUUAGUUGCGCUAGUUCAGACUUGGCUAAACAUUUGUUACAGUACUAACAUGGCCAAUUCUACAGAUUUAUGGCCUAAGCAGUUUUAAAAAUUAAGUUACAAAAUACAAUAUUUUUUUAGAUAAGUUAACACGUUAUCAGUUUCUAGCAUAAAAAGACUAUUAAAUGUGACAAACAAAAUAGCAGAGUCCGGACUAGGUCUAAGCCUGAUUACCAACAAGAUGGGAAGCAAGUCCGACAUAUCACAUCAAGCUAUGGAAAUUAACCUAAACUUAAAAUGACUUUUCCAGAAUGGUGUCCCCAUUUGGCCCCCCAACACAUUGAAAUCUGUCCUUGUAAUGUCCCACAGCAUUCUCAAAACCACAGGGUGGAUGUUAAAAACUAGUUUAUAAUCCUGACCAGCCCAAGAUCAUUUCUGUCUAAAAGCUUGAAAUGUGUGCAUACUAUACUGUAAAAUUAAUGGAAGCCUAUUUUGAAAAGGUGUAGCGCUGUUCAUUAGGAGGAAAACCAAAUCAAUAAACCGCUGGCAAUAUUCA
This is a long non-coding RNA of Anguilla rostrata (American eel), 1940 nucleotides long. RefSeq lists it as uncharacterized. The record is from RefSeq and is a predicted model, not a curated record. Lineage: Eukaryota; Metazoa; Chordata; Actinopteri; Anguilliformes; Anguillidae. The transcript is spliced from 2 exons.